Molecule: non-coding RNA, 1441 nt
Organism: Phascolarctos cinereus (koala)
Lineage: Eukaryota; Metazoa; Chordata; Mammalia; Diprotodontia; Phascolarctidae
Source: RefSeq, a predicted model, not a curated record
GAAGCCCUGUAGUCUCCAGCAAGAAACAAUGGCAGGAAUAGUCCCUGCCCGAGCCCUGAUCCCAGGAUGAUGCUGUGGGUUUUCAUGGUGAAAAGAAGAUAGGAAUAUAGCUCCUGUCCCAAAGCCCAUCGGCACAGGACUCUCUCCUUACUGCUAGAAAUGAAGGCCUUGCUGUGUGUGAGGGGCCAGGCGAGAGGCAAGUGCUAAGGGGGACUUUUCAAGUGAGUGUACUCUCUUCUGUACUCUCCAAGUGAGAGUCUUCAGGUGUGGUGUUGAGCGGGCUUCCAGCUUCAAGAGAGAAGAUGAAAGAGGCCAACCCGACUUCAGGUUUCUGAAGGAAAAUACUCUGUGAAGAUGUGAGAGGGGGGGACAGCCUCCAUCAUGUCCCUAUUCCCAGCUUGUUACUGGAGAGACUCCAGGGCGAUUCCUGUUGAGUGGAAUCGAAGAGCCUCUUUCUUGGUUGAAUUAAGUUAUCUUGCUACCAAUGGGCAAAUUUCUUCCCUCUUUAUUAUCGUACAUAUUCUCCUGUGUAUCUCUGAUUUCUGUUUUGCUAAAUGAUCUGGUUAAAUUUUUUAAUUUGCUAGGUAGAUUGGUUUCUUUGCUAUCCUCUAUAUGUAUUCAUUAUGGAACUGGUAUUAGGUAGGGAAGCAGUCAAGCCUUAGAUAUAGAUCUUGGGGUCCCUUUGCCCCCUCUGUUGACAAAAUGGUCAAAAGUUAGAUUGAACCCAAUCAUAUUCUGUAGACUAAUAAUAUGUAAGGGAGCAGAUAGAUACACUUCUAACCCAGUACCCCCUGUCUCUGAGGAGAACAUCGUGGUGACCUUUGGCCCCAACCUCCUGCUUCCCCUGCCGGGAAUGAAAGUCUCACUUGGAGAAGGGUGGGGGAACAAGGGGCUAGAGAUGUUGGUUCUGCCCCACUUUGAGCCACACACAACGACAAGUAUGCCACAGGUGGCCCUCACCACAUGUGUGGGGUCCGCUCUUAACCUCUUUGCUAUAGGUAGAAGAACAUCAAUGAUAUCAUUGAACAAGGUGGUCUUUUUUCUACUGGGACCAGCAACUGAACUGGAAAUGCAAUACAGUAUGAAAGAGUGUUGGACAUGAAGUCAGAGGACCUGGGUUCCACUUAUUCCCUCUAUAACCUUGGAUAAUUCACCUCAGCCUUCUAGGCCUUGAUUUUCUCAUCUGUAAAAUGAACAUGUUGGACUAGAUGUUCUCUAAGAUUCCUUUCAGCUUUAAAUUGAUGAACCUAUGAAUCUAUGAAUGUUUCCGAGAAUUCAGCAGAAAUGAAAUGACAGAUGAACCAUCUUGUCCCCUCUCUGAGUGGGAGGCAUUGCUAGCCAUAAGCUUGCCAUACAGUCAGUGCCUCUUUUGGUUUGAACGAAUUUAAUUAGGAAUCAUCUAAUAUACCCCCCUCAUUUUUAAAAUAAAUUUUUAUUGCUA